UUUCAGUCUUUUCUUCCUCCCUCCUGUGCCUCUGGUUUCCACGGCGAGCAGGGCAGAGGAGGAGGAAGAGGAGGAGGAUUAGGGUUCGAAGUGGGGCGGAGCAGGAGGGGGCCAUGGCGGCGAGCAUCUCGUCAGCGGCGACGACGACCUUGAGCAUCCACAAGCUCUGCGGCGGUAGGGGCUGUGCCCCGGCGGAGGCGCCGCCGAGGCAGCAAGGCAGCGUCCUCUGCUUCUUCCACCCGCUUCCCUUCGCCGGCCACGACCGCUGCCACCGCGCCGGCGUCGGCGGCGCGAGCUUGGCGCAUCCGCUUCGUCUCAGGACGAAGAGGCGGAAGGCGUUGACGCUCUGCUUCGUCCUGGCGGACGACAGGAGGCAGGUGGACGCGGGGAAGGAGGAGGCGGCGGCGACCGAAUCAGACAGCGGAGCGACGACGACGACGAGCGAGAUCCAAUUCGAGGAGGCGCUCGCCCUGGGGGCGUCGGCGGCGCGGGCGGCGGAGCGGCAGGCGAGAAAGAAGGCGGAGCGUCAGACCUAUCUCGUGGCCGCCGUAAUGUCGAGCCUCGGGAUCACCUCCAUGGCCAUUGCCGC
Molecule: long non-coding RNA, 589 nt
Filed under: Spirodela polyrhiza (greater duckweed)
Lineage: Eukaryota; Viridiplantae; Streptophyta; Magnoliopsida; Alismatales; Araceae
Description: long non-coding RNA (SPOL_LNC002261)
Source: RNAcentral